CCCAGCUCCUACUCAGGAUGGAGUUGCUCUGGUUCACAUGCCUCUGAGAGAAGCAUGUGUGCCCACUUUGACCAAAUCUGUCAGGGGCACCUGCACCGUCUAGCCCUGCCAGCCACUGGCCUGCUCCCAUGGUGGGUUCCCUCCCAAAGCCCCUGAGCGCUUCCUCUCUUCACCUGCUUCCCACCCACACACGCUCGGUGCUCCAGCCACAGGCACCCCGCCCAGAUUCCUCCCCAUCUCCAUACCUUCAGCCAUGCCUGGCAUGCUGGCACCCUCCUGCCUCCCCCACCCCAACCCAGCCACCUGCAAACUCCUCCAAGCUCCAGCUCAAGCCUUUACUGCCCUAGGAAGCUUGCCCUGGGAGGCUCAGACAGAAAAGACGCAACCAGCUUACUAUUCAGUGAGCCUCUCUCCCUAGCAGGGAAGUGAGGAAGCCCCUGCCACUGAGACCCGACGAUCCUGCCCGGCAGGGCUGCCAGUCUCCAGCGCACUGUGGCACUCAUACUGAGGACAGGGUCAUGCCCCUGGUAAUUAUGACUUCACAUCUAUUUAACCGUGUGCCAGGCACUGUGCUAGGAGCCUUGCUCAACUCAUCCAAUCCUCAGCCUCAGCCUAGAACUCAGACACUCCCGUUAUCCAGGGCACAGAGUAGGCAAAGCCACAAGGCUGCUGCUGCAAAGGAGGAUGGCACGGGCAAACACAGGCUGGGAUGGGUGAAAGGGUCUCUUAAGGAAAUGAGGUGCAGUCGGGCCUGGAAGAGCAGCAGAAUGUGUGUCCGGCCCUGCCACACGCCUGGAUCCCAGAGCAAGAUGGAGCCAGCAGCCACCCCUGUCUGCCACCCUGGCCUUCUCUCCAGGACUCCUGGCUUCCCCCUCGAUUACCCCUGCCUGACACCCUAUGCUAGCAACCAGAGACUGUUUCUGCCUGGCUGCCCCCAGCUCCUUGAACAUGCAGCCUGGGUUCCAGAGGGAGGUCAUACGGCCUGUCAGAGACCACCAGGGAAGCAUCACAGAUCGCAGCCAGCGGGCGAGCUCAGCUGGGGGUUUGCACCAAGCAUGGCUCCAGAGUGAGGCCUGGCUGAUGCAGGCUGGGACCACCCUGCAUGGACCAGCAGUGUGGGUAAGUCCUGGGGCUCAGAGAGGGGCUGAGAAGGCCAAAGGCAAGACGAGGACCCGUUAUCACGGCACAUAGUGUCCCUUGACUUGCUGGGAGAAGCUCACAAUUAGCAAUCCCAUGGCCACGGGAGGCCAGAGUGGGAGCUGGAAGGCUCUGGAUGCCAGAGCUUUGGGUGCCUGGCCCUCCUCGGGCUGGUGUUCGCCUGUAAGUGUUGCUUCGGCUGUUCAAACGCGGAUGCCCAUCCUUGCCCAUUGGUAAACAGCUGCUGCCACCUCCAAGACCCAUGCACCCUGUGUGGCACGUGACCUCCUGCAUCCCCUCUGGGCCUCCCUGUGGGUUUAGGAUGUCACCCCUGCCAGAGCACCUACCUCUCCAGGCCUACAGCUGGGUUCCUCCACAGACACCGUCUCGGGACAGUGCAUUUGUUCUCUGUCUUUGAUCAGAAAUGGCCAUCACAACCACCAUGCUCAGACCUUAGACACCGGCUUCUCUGCGCCUGGGGAUGGUGGAGCCGGGGAGCUGCCGCGGGCCUGAGGGAGGAUGCGAAGCUCCAGGCUGCCCCCUGCUGCCUCCGGAGUGUGCUGCAGUCUUGGCCAAUGUGGACUUGAACACAACCUGCUCCGAUCUUCAGAAAUAUUACCCACGAGACCUGCUUUCUCCCAAAAUGCAUUCGGCUGCCCACCCAUGGGAUGUUACAGAAUAAAGAUAAUAAAGCUAUGCUCCAGAUCAUGUUCCCAAUGCCAAAAAUCUCCCCAACUCCCAGAAUCUAGAGUCUUUGAAAUAUAGACCAUGGAGUAUCUUUUUGAUAAUGGAAGUAAAACUGUUUAUGUAAAAUGCUUUUUCUCUGCAAAUAACAACUCAAGAAGAGACCAGGAACUAUAGUCAGAAGGGAUUCUCGUCCUGGGGGGACAUUUCUUGCCUGCGUGGUCUAGGUGGGUUGUGGUCUUCCAGUUUCUGCCCCUAAAUCCAUAUGUGAUCGGCUCCACCUCACAAGGCUGUCAUAAUACUUCACAAGAGAAAUACAAGAAAGCACGCUUUUAAAGCCGUGUGCACAGCUGCUGGUUUUAAUAUCAUUAUCUUUCAGGGAAUUUUUAACUCGUCUCCCAGAGGCUCGAUUGGAUUGAAAAUGUAAGGUCUAUUUAAUGAAAACUAUCAAGGAAGUUCCUGGGGAAAAACUUAGGAGUCGUCAAGCAUUAGGCAAGCCCCAGCUAUGCAGUUUGAAUAAAGCACAGACUGCAGAAGCCGCACGAGCGAAUCCCAGGCCAGGCCUGUCACUCACUGCCAUGUCCCUGGACAACACACUAAGUCUCUUGAAGCCUCUCUUUUCUUGUCCAUAAAAUGGAAUUCACUGUUCACUGAAUGAGAUGAGGUGAGGACUGGAAAUCAUGCCUGGUGUACAGUGAGGGCUGAAUACAAGGUUCGUUCUUUUCUUUUUUUUCUUUUCUUUUCUUUUCUUUUUUUUUUUUUUUUUUUGAGACAGAGUCUGGCUCUGUCACUCAGGCUGGAGUACACUGGCACGAUCUUGCCAACUUUGCACCUCACCUUUGGUUUCAAGUGAUUCUCCUGCCGCUGCCUGAGCUGGGAUCACAGGCUUAUGCCACCAUGCCUGGCUAAUUUUUGUAUUUUUAGCUAAGACAUGGUUUUGCCUGUGG
Long non-coding RNA from Aotus nancymaae (Ma's night monkey), 2768 nucleotides. NCBI's taxonomy places the organism in Eukaryota, Metazoa, Chordata, Mammalia, Primates, Aotidae. The record is from Ensembl.